CGGGAUGUAGCGCAGUUGGUAGCGCACUACGUUCGGGACGUAGGGGUCGCAAGUUCGAAUCUUGUCAUCCCGACAA
RNAcentral lists this transfer RNA (76 nucleotides) under Leyella stercorea DSM 18206. Its description in RNAcentral is "Prevotella stercorea DSM 18206 tRNA-Pro". It matches the Rfam family "tRNA". From Rfam's summary of the family: Transfer RNA (tRNA) molecules are approximately 80 nucleotides in length. Their secondary structure includes four short double-helical elements and three loops (D, anti-codon, and T loops). The record is from RNAcentral. RNAcentral also lists the same sequence under 1 other name. Lineage: Bacteria; Pseudomonadati; Bacteroidota; Bacteroidia; Bacteroidales; Prevotellaceae.